Molecule: long non-coding RNA, 1186 nt
Filed under: Numida meleagris (helmeted guineafowl)
Lineage: Eukaryota; Metazoa; Chordata; Aves; Galliformes; Numididae
Description: lncRNA (ENSNMEG00000010942.1)
Source: RNAcentral
CAUUUUACUUGAACAACCCUUUCUUCUGAUGCCCAUUUCCCAGGCCGCUGGAUAGCACACACCAAUAAAUAAAGAGAAGUCUCCAAAUAAGACAUAAAAGAGCUCUUCCACUUCCAAAGUCCCAGCAGCAACCUUCCCAUUGCCAGAGCUCCAUUAACUGCCAUUUCCUAAUCCGUAAUGGAAUGAGGAGCACGACCAAAGCUGCUUUUCCUCUGAAACACAAGGUCCUUACAGACUGGGUGGAGACUACGCUUCAGAGCCAUCAGCUUCCUCUGAAAUGUUCCUGCAAAGCACGAGACCUGAGACACGGCAGCGUUACCGCCAGAGGCACAGGGAACAAACUGCAAUACUGGACACGGUGAAGCUGUGAGGACAAGCAGGACCUGAGCAUCCAGGUCACAGCUGCAGAGCUGCAGUGCACCACACACAGCACCAGCAGCCUCGGCAGUGCUGCACAGCAGUCAUCCUGGUGACAGGGUUAAAGGGCGGCAAGGUUUGCAGGGAGGAGGAACAGAUUUUAAUGACUUGAUGAACAGUUGACUGGUAUAGUUGGAGAGAGGGCCCACAUCUUAAAGCUCAAGCAAAAGUCAUAAACGUUAUUCAUUAUGAGCAUUUAUGAGAGAAAUGGAGGCUCUAAGGAAGACCUGCAAGUCGGACUCACCCUGCCUUCUGCUGCAUUAGUGGUGCCUAAGAGCUUUAACAGCAAUCAGCUGAAGCAUUCAAGUUGAUGUCCAAACACCGGGUGUUUUGUUGCCUGAAGUUCCAGCAGUGAACUCAGGUUCAACCUACUGCAAAGCCUGAGGCGCAGGGCAGGUCGCCACAGGCACAGAUCCUGCUGCGUGGGCUUGCCACUGCGGCCAUGCUACCCCUAUUGCUGAGCAGCCACACAUCCACCGUACCAAAUUACACGGCCACUGUGCCCAGGCCUGAGGUUAUCCACACCGCCUAACUGCAUGCUGAGGUUUUGUUCCUGGCUCACACCCACCGAGGUCAACACAGCUAGCAUCUGGCCAGAGAGCACACGUGAGCAGCAGUGGGGAAACGACACGUCAGGCAGUGUGGCCACACUGCUGAUCUCUUUGGACAAGAUCCCCAGUUUCCUUCCGUGACUGGUGAAAAUGACCACAAAAUGCAAUGGAUUCUGCUUGCGUAAAUAAAUCUGUCAUCAGCGAGAUCUUCCUGUUCA